Long non-coding RNA from Saccostrea echinata, 121 nucleotides. RefSeq lists it as uncharacterized. The record is from RefSeq and is a predicted model, not a curated record. Lineage: Eukaryota; Metazoa; Mollusca; Bivalvia; Ostreida; Ostreidae. The transcript is spliced from 3 exons.
GAAAAAGAAAAAGGGUGUCUGCAGUACAGCCAGUCCUCAAGAAUCUCCAAUUAAGAAUGACAGUUCAGAUCUGCCAGACAUUCCUGUAACGGACACAGAUGAAGGCAAAUGUACAGAUGAG